CGAACGGGAUUAGAUACCCCGGUAGUCCACGCCGUAAACGAUGGAUACUAGCUGUCGGGACCUCGGUCUCGGCGGCCAAGCGAAAGUGAUAAGUAUCCCACCUGGGGAGUACGUUCGCAAGAAUGAAACUCAAAGGAAUUGACGGGGGCCCGCACAAGCGGUGGAGCAUGUGGUUUAAUUCGAUGAUACGCGAGGAACCUUACCAGGGCUUAAAUGCGGGCUGCAUGGGACAGAGACGUCCCUUUCUUCGGACCGCCCGCAAGGUGCUGCAUGGUUGUCGUCAGCUCGUGCCGUGAGGUGUCAGGUUAAGUCCUAUAACGAGCGCAACCCCUACCGUUAGUUGCCAGCAUGUAAAGAUGGGGACUCUAACGGGACUGCCGGUGCAAACCGUGAGGAAGGUGGGGACGACGUCAAAUCAUCACGGCCCUUACGUCCUGGGCCACACACGUGCUACAAUGGCCGGUACAGAGGGAAGCCACCCCGCAAGGGGGCGCGGAUCUACAAAGCCGGUCACAGUUCGGAUCGGGGUCUGCAACUCGACCCCGUGAAGCUGGAAUCGCUAGUAAUCGGAUAUCAGCCAUGAUCCGGUGAAUACGUUCCCGGGCCUUGUACACACCGCCCGUCAAGCCAUGGAAGCCGGGAGUGCCUGAAGUCCGUGACCGCAAGGAGCGGCCUAGGGCAAAAUCGGUAAUAG
This 694-nucleotide ribosomal RNA is filed under the name bacterium w1cc3. Its description in RNAcentral is "bacterial SSU rRNA". It matches the Rfam family "Bacterial small subunit ribosomal RNA", at positions 769 to 1477 of the family's 1533-position model. The record is from RNAcentral.